UGUUAUGAAUUUCACCUAUUUCUACUGUUAAAAACUGACGUGGCUAACAGAAUAAUCAGACAAUUACACGUGGUGUGCUACGUGUACCUCAUACUGGCGUAGAGAGAUUAGUUUUUAAUAGCAAAAAUGGAUGGAAUUUUUAACA
Molecule: non-coding RNA, 145 nt
Organism: Gossypium raimondii (Peruvian cotton)
Lineage: Eukaryota; Viridiplantae; Streptophyta; Magnoliopsida; Malvales; Malvaceae
Source: Rfam